This 263-nucleotide ribosomal RNA is filed under the name uncultured bacterium. Its description in RNAcentral is "partial 16S ribosomal RNA". It matches the Rfam family "Bacterial small subunit ribosomal RNA", at positions 333 to 613 of the family's 1533-position model. The record is from RNAcentral.
GGCUACCUACGGGACGCAGCAGUGGGGGAUAUUGCACAAUGGGGGGAACCCUGAUGCAGCGACGCCGCGUGGGUGAAGAAGCGCCUCGGCGCGUAAAGCCCUGUCAGCAGGGAAGAAAAUGACGGUACCUGAAGAAGAAGCCCCGGCUAACUACGUGCCAGCAGCCGCGGUAAUACGUAGGGGGCGAGCGUUAUCAGGAUUUACUGGGUGUAAAGGGGGCGCAGACGGCGAUGCAAGCCAGGAGUGAAAGCCCGGGGCCCAAC